GCGUGAGUGAUGAAGGCCCUAGGGUUGUAAAGCUCUUUCACCCACGACGAUAAUGACGGUAGUGGGAGAAGAAGCCCCGGCUAACUUCGUGCCAGCAGCCGCGGUAAUACGAAGGGGGCUAGCGUUGCUCGGAAUCACUGGGCGUAAAGGGCGCGUAGGCGGACAUUUAAGUCAGGGGUGAAAGCCCAGAGCUCAACUCUGGAAUUGCCUUUGAUACUGGGUGUCUCGAGUCUGGUAGAGGUUGGUGGAACUGCGAGUGUAGAGGUGAAAUUCGU
This 275-nucleotide ribosomal RNA is filed under the name uncultured bacterium. RNAcentral describes it as "partial 16S ribosomal RNA". It matches the Rfam family "Bacterial small subunit ribosomal RNA", at positions 399 to 691 of the family's 1533-position model. The record is from RNAcentral.